Bactrocera latifrons is the source of this 1100-nucleotide long non-coding RNA. RefSeq lists it as uncharacterized. NCBI's taxonomy places the organism in Eukaryota, Metazoa, Arthropoda, Insecta, Diptera, Tephritidae. The transcript has 7 exons. The record is from RefSeq and is a predicted model, not a curated record.
AGUGAUUUGAGGGCGAGAGUAAACGAGAAAUCGAAAGAAAACUUGUGAAACACCGUUAUUUCGAUGAGUAUAUACGAAAGAGAUUCAAGAAUUUGAAUUACAACAAUCAAUUUCUUUAACAAAAUAUACCCGCAUGCGCAAAAACACAACGCGGAACGAGAGGCUCUACAAAAGCUAUGCAAGACACGAUCAAUAUUCUCGAUCUACAAUGAAAAUUCUUGAUCCACAAUCAAUAUUAUCGACCUACAAUCAAUAUCGUUUUGGACCCCGUAUGUUAUGCGAAGUCUAAGAGAGAUCGUGAAGGUCGUAAAAUUUCGGAUCUCAUCGGAGUUAUUUCACCGAACUUACUAAUACAUCGAAGCUACUUCAAGAAGGUCAUAAGAGAAACCAGCCUUUCUAAUGACGUUUUAAAUCGGCGUCCUUGACGUCCGAGCCACGACUUACCGUUCUAUGUCACCGGAAUUGACCUGCAUCUUAUCCGGCUAAGAGCUGUUAUUUCGGUGUUCGAUCGUUGCGCAGUUAUCUUAUGUGAUCAGUUGAAAUUUGUUGAGAAUUGUUGUCCUCUUAAACUUCUCCAAUGAAGUUUUCGCAUAAGCGAUAGUUAAAGCUGCAUAUUUUAAACACAGCUUAAUUAAACGAAACCGUCUGGUAACCGCCUAAGCUAACCUUCAUCAACUUCACCAUUGGCAACGCUGCACUUUGACAAGUCAAUAAAAGUGUAACUGUUGAAUGCCGUUAAGUGAAAAAAUAAACCGCAAUUUUAAAAAAAUCUGCGAUUUCAGCACAGAGCAGCUUAAUUUCAAUAAAAUCUCUUCUCGAAACCAAAAAGUGUUACCAACAUUUCAAUCAAACUGCCACAUUAAGCACAUUUUGGCCUUAGCAGACUUCUUGUCCCCAGUGCCACUCGAGCACACACACAACCACAUCGCGACAAGCACAUAGGUAAACCGCCGCACAAUGCGAAAUGGAUCGAGUAUGGGCAAUAAAAUGUCAACUGGCAUUUAGAAGAGGCUUAACUAUUUAAAUAAUCAAAUGGCCACGCAACGGAAUGGUUUGAUCCAACGAUGUGCCCCUUUACAUUUUGCCGAAUUCAAAGCGCC